CUGCUUUCUCUUUUUUCCCCUCGCUCUUUGCACCGGGGGGCUCUGCUUUUGCCUUUGCAAAGGUCCUGCCAAGAUGCUAAGUUGGAAAUUGAGGAUUCUGACGCCUUGUGCGCGCCCGAAGCUCCUCCUUCCCGGGGUGUAGUCGGUGGGAGGACUGGCAGGAGCUUCUGGGCGGCCGCAGCCAACCCGGCCGCCAGGCGCGCCUCGCCCUCUCCCUCUUCCUCCUCGGCUCUCUCUCCCGCUCGCUGGCGCUCCUCUCGCCCCUCCCUAGCGCCCGCCUCCCCUCCGCGGCCCCCCCUCUCACCCCUCCUCUUUGCCUCCCCUUUUCCCCUCCCCGGUCUCUCCCUCUCUCUCGCUUUCUCUCAGACUCUCGAGCGCCGGCCCCAGGAUGACAAUCACAUCCCAGGAGCGCCGAUCUCUUCCAACUUUCCUCUUCUGCUAACUCGGGGCGGAGUGGCAGUCCCGCCGCCCCGAAGCACAAAGGGAACGAGGCCGCGGGCUGUGCGCCGGCGAACGCUCUGCGCUCUCCUAGCCACAGUAGAUCGCGGACUUAGCGGAUUUCUUGUUCUCCGGCAGGCUGGGCUCCGAGGCCAUUCGUUGCCCACCCCCCUCUGGCGUCUUCCCCAAGCCAGGGGGCCCGGAGAGCCAGCUGGAGAUCCGGAAUGAAAGUCUCUGGGAGAGCCGAUGGAUGGCCCGCGCCCAGGGCGCAGGAAGUCCGGGAUGACUGCCCCUCUGCGCCGGCAGCAGCAGGUGGGCGAGAGACAGGCCUCAGACGUCUGCACGUCUCCGCCUCGCCUUCCUUCUACCGACCCCCCGCCGGACGGCGAGGGAGAAGACACUGGUUCCUGGAACUACCGGGGUAGCCUUUUUCUAGAGUAGGGGUGGUGGGCAAGAACUGCCAGACAGAGAAUCAGCUACACCCGAGGAGAUCUCGGGACCGUCCCCAGCUCCACUCCCACGCCUCGCAGCCUCUUUCUCCCGGUUUUCCCACCGCACGCAGCUCGCACCGCCAAGUCGGUGGUGGUGGAGGGUGCGGGUCCCCUUCCCUUUUGUUUAACUAAGUCGCCUUCCCCUUCGCACGCACUCUCGCAUCCGCCCACGCUCCACUGCAAACACUGGGCAGAGCAGUGCCCAACCCAACCACUGUUUGUUCAGCGAGGCGCUGGCGAAGCAAACACACACAACUGAGUCAGAGGCAGAGCCCUUGCCCACGACGGCCACACAGUUAGAAUACAAAACAGACCCUCUCCUCUUCUCUCCACCUCCCGCCACCACAAGCCACGGACGCACUCGAACUCUGGGACAGACAGGGGCGCUGGUGAACCAGGACAGAAGAUGGCACAGGUUUGGGCACGCCGCGGAAGCUCGGGAUAUCGGGAACUUCGCAUAAUGGGGCCACACGCAAGCCGAAGCAUAACUAUAUACAAAGUUUCUCGCAUUGACUUUGACGGGCGAGAUGUACUUUAUUUCGCGAUCUCACACUAACCCAGCGCCGCACCGGCACCCGCUCGGUGCUGCGCUCUCGUGCACGCGCGUUGGCUCCUCCCCUCCGUCUGCUCCCCUCCCCCAGACACCGCCCACCAAGAGGCCUGAGCGGUUCAGACUACAUUCUCCGAGAGCCCCUGGGUCCGCCCAGCCCAGUGCCUGACACCUCCUUCACCUAUGAUUGGGCGCUGGCCUCCCUGGGCUCCGCCCCCUGGUGACGUAACCCCGCUUUCCUCCGAGUCUCGGCGCCAGAGGGGCGGGGAGGGGCGGGGUCUCGAUCGCGCUAUUGUCAUGGAGACGGGAAGCUGGCUGCAGCGGCGGCGGGGACCGUGGGGCCGAGGUGGCUGCCAGCCGGCCAAUGUCUAAGCGAGGCGGAGCGGCCCAGGCGGCCCGAGCCUGGGGGAGCGCGCAGCCGGCCAGUGGCGGCCUCGCCGGCGGCCUCUUCCCGGGCUCGCAGUAGGCCCGAGUCGUCGCCGGGAGCUCCUGGGAGCAGCGUCCCCGCCCUGCUCCCCUCGCUCCCGCCUCUUGCGGCCCCACGGCCCCUCAGCGCCCGCCCCCGGCUCCGCCCGCCGCAGCCGCAGCCCCUGGCGCUAACGGUCGGUAACGGCCCGCGCGCGCCGCCCGCCGGGGGCUCGCGCCAGCCACGAGGGAGCGUCCGCGGCCCGCGCGCCCGCGCGGCGGAGGAGAGGUGUUAAGUGUGAUGCUUCCAUAAUACAUUUGGAUGCUGUCAGCUAAGUUCACUUCUGAACUAAGGGGUUCCUCCAAAUGUUGGCUGAAAUUCAUCCCAAGGCUGGUCUGCAAAGUCUGCAAUUCAUAAUGGAGCUACUGUACUGGCUAUUGGAAGGAGGAGAUUCUGAAGAUAAGGAGGUAAAACCUGUUUAGAAAUUAAAAAUGAGUUACGAUUUAAAGAAAAUUCAGAUGACUCAUUGUGAGUGCUAGUUCUCUUGUAGGAUGCCACUGGAAAUGUUGAAAUGAAAAAUAUUCAGCCGUUGGUCUUUGAAAUUUCCUGUGAUGUGUUUCAAUCUAGAUGCAAAGAACAUGGAAAAAUCAAAGUGCUCGAGUGGUUUAAAUAUGUUUUGGGUAUUCCUGUUUAUAGACUAUAAUACUUUUCCAAUUAAAAUCCUCAGUUGUCACGCAGAAGAAGGUUAAGCUGUAUUUGAUUGCCAGUUUUACUGAAAAUGCUUAGUAUUUUACAGUAUCACCAAAUAUAUUUUGUUUAGCCAAGGUAUAGGAAAAAUAAAAUAAAUUGUAUAGGUUGACUUUUUUCUAAAAUGUCUUUAUUGGAUUGAAUGAAUGUUUAUACCUGAAAAAAAAAGGUUCAAAAAAAUUCCUUUUUCUAUCAGAGUCAUUCUUUUGACAAUCAGAUAUUAGACUAGGUUUAAAAUAACUUUCUAAUAUGACUCAUAUUUAUGGGAGGAAAAAGACUUGAAAGAUAUUCCUAUGUGUACUUUAAUUUUCUGUAAUAGUCCCUCUGGAAUAGAAUAUCUCUUCCUCAAACAAAUCUAUUGGCUCAUUUCAUAUACAAGAAAAAGUUGCCCUAAAUGGCAGAGUUUCAUCUCUGUAAAGAAGGCUGACAUCCACUUCCUUCACAGAAUCCCUGCAUUUGGGUAAUUGAGUAAUGAUAGAUUACCUUGCCAUUGGGAAAUACCUUGUUGUGGCCUUUGUAGCAGCUAUAGGAAGAUGGAAGAAUUCUUUUGUAUAGACAGGUCUCUAGCCUCUUUGGUGUGGACACUGUGAAGGGGUACAUCUGGUGAGAAGGAGUGCUUAGGGAAGGAACUGGGAAGGUCCACAAAGGCUGAUGAUGACAAAGAAUCCAAGGGCUAUGAUGAAUUCUUAAGCUUAGAUCUCAGAGUCAUAAAGUAAAUUUAUUAGGCUAGAGAGAUUUCCUUUUUUAUUUUUGAUCAAACUUUAUUUUUUCAGAUUGUUAAGUUCACAUGCAGUUGUACAAAAUAAUACAGAGAUCUUUGAACACUACCCAGUUUCUCCUAAUAGUAACUUCUUGCAAUAUACUGUAUAGCACAGCAUCACAACCUGGAUACUGACAUUGAUGCAGUCAAGACAGAGAACAUUUAUAUCAUGAGGAGGAUCCCUCAUUACCGCCCUUUGAUAUCCACCCCUACUUCCAGACCAUCUCACUCCUCCCUUAACCCUGGCAACCACUAGCAUGUUCUCCAUUUCUAUAAAUUUGCCUUUAUAGGAAUGUUAUAUAAUUGCAAUUAAAGUGUGUAACCUUUUGGGGUUUGACUCACCCGGCAUCAUUUUCUGGAGAUUCAGCUUAUAUGUGUCAAUAGUUUGUUCCCUUUUUUUUAGUUCAGUAGUAUUCUGUGGUACGUGUGUACCACAUCACUCAUCAAUUCGGACUUCUGGGUUGUAUCUGGUAUUUGAUUAUUACAAAUAGAAGUACUAUAUAUAUAUUCGUGUAGAGGUUUCUGUGUGAACAUAAACUUUCAUUUUCCUGGGACAGAUGCCCACGAGUGAAAAUUGUGAGUCAUAUGGUAAUUAUGUAGAGUAUUUUUUUUUUGAGACGAUUUGUUUAUGAUUUUAAAACAUAAAAAUAUAAGUUGUAGCCAAAUAUAAGGAAGGAUUUUUCCACAAUCUAGACUUUAUUCUUAUUUUAGAGAAAUACUUUUGAAAAAAUUGCUUUAUUGGCAAACAAUUCCUAUGUAAAGGAAUAAAAGACGCAUAUACUCUAGGAAAGAUGUUGCAAAGCUGACAGGCAACUUUGAGAAAGAUGAGGGCAGUUUUCCAGUGUUACUGGAGACUUGACAUUCAAGGAUGUAUUAUGAUAGUUUCUGAAUUGAUAGAUUCUUUAGCGUUUGUCACUACCCUCAGGCCUGCAGUUUUUAUUUGUAGAAUUAACUCAUCUUUACAAUGCUUUGUUGAGUGCUGUUGCAGAAAAUGCUCAUGUAAUUCAAUUAUAUGCAGUUAGGAAAAAGAAGUAUCUUUUUCUAGUACAUGGCCCCUAAAAUGAUGACUUUCCACAAUGCUGAAUGGAGGAAACAGCUCUGUUUCCAUCAAACUCUGGUGGAAAUUAUACAAAGUUAUAUUAUGCUUUAUGAGACAUAGUGAGGUAGUACACAACCAUAUAUGCUAUAUUAUUGGGGAGACCCACUGAAAGAAUUUUCAAGGAUAAUUUUUGCUCUGAUUUUCUAUCAUGUAUAUUGACUUUAUUGAUUGAUUGAUUGAGAUGGAGUCUCACCCCGUCACCCAGGCUGAAGUGCAGUGGUGCAAUCUCUGCUCACUGCAACCUCCGCCUCUCAGGUUCAAGUGAUCCUCGUGCCUCAGCCUCCCGAGUAGCUGAGACUAUAGGUGUGUGCUACGAUGCCCAGCUAAUUUUUGUAUUUUUAGUAGAGACAGGAUUUGGUAGCCUGGUCUCGAACUCCUGACCUCAGGUGAUCUACCCACCUUGGCCUCCCAAAAUACUGGGAUUACAGGUGUGAGCCACCGUGCUGGCCAAGUAUAUUGACUUUAAAACGUUACCGGCUGGGCGUGGUGGUUCACGCCUGUUAUCCCAGCACUUUGGGAGCCCGAGGCGGAUGGAUUACCUGAAGUCAGGAGUUCGAGACCAGCCCAACCUGGUGAAACCCCGUCUCUACUAAAAAUACACAAAUUAGCCGGGCGUGGUGGCAGGCGCCUAUAAUCCCAACUACUGGGAAGGCUGAGGCAGGAGAAUUGCUUGAACCUGGCAGGCGGAGGCUGCAGUGAGCCAAGACUGCGCCACUGCACUCCAGCCUGGGCAACAAGAGCAAAACUCAGUCUCAAAAAAAACAGAAAAAAAAAGUUACCACGGGUGAAACAUUGGGCUGGUCACAGUGAUCCUUCUAACAGCAGUCAAUAUUAUAAAUCUAGCUUUUUUUUUUGAGUGAGAUACUAGGCCCAGGGAACCCGAGUCUUUCAAUCCUCAUGAAUAUAGUUUAAUCUUUAGCUCAUUAUGGUCAUGACCAUAGUUAAAUAAAUGACACGAGAUAAUAAAAUAGUCUUUGCCCUUAAAACUGACCUGGGUAAAAGGAUGUACACUUGAAUCUUUGAAUACCAGAAUAGUCAUUCAUUCAUUGAGCCGUGUUGUAGCAUCCCAUCUUCUGGCACUUCCAGCACUGGGAACCCAUCAUAAAGAAGGCACUACAGGCCAGGCGCUGUGGCUCACGCCUGUAAUCCCAGCACUUUGGGAGGCCAAGGCAGGCGGAUCACCUGAGGUCAGGAGUUCGAGACCAGCCUGGCCAACAUGGUGAAACCCCAUCUCUACUAAAAAUACAAAAAGUAACUGGGCAUGGUGGCAGGCGCCUGUAAUCCCAGCUACUUGGGAGGGUAAGGCCAGAGCAUCGCUUGAACCCGGAAGGCAGAGGUUGCAGUGAGCCAAGAUCCUGCCAUUGCACUCCAGCCUGGGGGAUAAGAGCGAGACUUCGUCUAAAAAAAAUAAAAAUAAAAAGGCACUACAGCACCUGUUCUCUUAGUGUAGCUCUAUUAGCUCUUAGACUAGGGGGUAGGGAUGGGAAAAAGUAAAAAGAAACUGAGAAACCAAUCUAAUUACGCAUAAUCAGAAAUCCAAAGCUUCCAGAAUUCAUGAGGAAAAAGAACUGCAGCUGAUGGAGUAGGCAUUACAGAGAAUGAGAGGCUUGCUUUUUUUUUAAGUUUCAUUUUAUUUGUAAUUGACACAAUAGCACAUAUUUACGGGAUACAGUGUGACAUUUUAAUACAUUUACAUAUUGUGUAAUGAUCAAAUUAGGAUAAUUAGCUUAUGUAUCACUUCAAAAACAUAAUUUCUUUGUGAUGAGAACAUUCAAAAUCUUCUAGUAUUUUGAAAUACAUAAUGCAAUAUUGUUAACCACAAUCACCCUACUGUGCAAUAGAACACCAGAGUUUACUCCUCUUUUCCAUCUGUAGCUUCAGACCCAUUGACCAAUCUCUCCCCUUCGCCCCCCACCACCCCCCCCCCCGCCGUCACCACUCUCCUCCCCUCCCCAGCAAGAGGCUUGAAUCUUGAAGGAGCACAUCAGAUAGAAAGAGGGAAAUCAACUGGGACAUGGUUUGUUGGAAGUGGGGUGGAAUCUGGUUUGUUUACAGUUUCAGAGUUUGAGGCAUCAAAAGUGUAUGUCAUUGCCCAAAAGUAUUUAACAGCUUUCUAUGUUUUAGGAAUUCACUAGAAAUAAGGCAUGCUUUUUAAAAAAGAAAAAAAAUAGUAAUCUUUGAAUUUAAAUAUGUGGGUUUCCAUGAAAAACAAAUGAGUACCCUUCCUUGAAAAACUACUACUUUGAAGAGUCUCGUAGGUUCUGAGGCUCGUGUGUGUGUGUGGGUGUGUGUGUAUAAAACAUUUUCUUUUAUAUUUGGUAAGAAGGAAUAAGGUAUUUUAUACUUUUCUGGUCUGUUAAAUGCAUAAUCUAUAAGACUAUAAUACUUUAAAAAAUUUUAGUUUAUCUGAGGCUUAAAAUAACAAAAGAACUUAAAGCUCCUGUGGAAGAGCUCCAAAAUUAAAACUGUAAGAUCACAUAUAGAUAAAACGUUAUAUAAAGCAGGCUUUGGGACCCCAGGCAUGAUGGCUCAUUCCUGUAAUCCCAGCACUUUGGGAGGCCAAGGUGGGUGGAUCACCUGAACCCAAAAGUUCGAGACCAGCCUGAGCAACAUGGUGAAACCCUGUCUCUACAAAAUACAGAAAAAAAAAAUAUUAACCAAUUUUUUUAACCUCCCAGCUACUUGGGAGGCUGAGAUGGGAGGAUGGCUUGAGCCUGGGGAGGUCGCGGCUGCAAUGAGUCAUGAUCGCGCCACUGCACUCCAGCCUGGGUAAUAGAUUGAAACUCUGUCUCCACACACACACACACAAAUGACUUUUGGUAAGACUGUACAUAGAGUUUAUGGCCUUAUUAAGAAACUCUUUUGAGCAACCUAAGAAAACACAAGUAUUUCUGUACAUUACUUUGUUAAAGUGUACAGGAUAAUAAGAGAGAGCUAAGAGCCUUUUCUAAAUGUGCAUCCAAUUUUAAGAGGCUAAAAUAGGAAGCUUUCAUAUAGCCAAGGCCCCAUUAACUUGGGAAUCUGGAAAACAGAAGACGUAAGUUUCUAUCAGAGUUUCUUUAAAUUUAUGUAAAUCAUAAAUUUGAGCAAGGCAGUUAUAAAAGACAUUAAAAUUAAGAUACUCAGGAUUUUAUAUGUAAUAAUAUUGAUUCCAAUAUCUUCAACACUAUGGCAUUGCCAAUGAGGAGACCAAAAUGAAUUGUAUUUUAUGAAAGGGCUAUAUUAGACCAGUGACUUAAAAGUUCCAAGUACAUAUAAUGACAAAGCGUUGUGGAAUCAUCUUGUACUACUGUUUAUGUAGUAGUUUAAAAAAAAAAAGAAAAAGAAAAUGGUGCAAUUUUAGACAGUUUAAAAAAAUUUUACAAAUACUGCAAAUCAUAGGUUGGUUACCACUAGACUUCCUGACUGCAGUGGUUGCUGUAUUCACUGUACAUUCUUUUAAAACACCAGGCACUUUAUAAUUUUGUCUAUAAUUGUUUAUAUAUUUUUUCUUCACAACAUGUUUUAGAAUAACUUAUUGCUAAGUUACUUCAACGUAUGUGCCAUCUUUAAACUUUAUAUAUGAGUAUACUAAAGUGUCAUUUGCAAGACACAUCUAUGCACUAUUUUUUUUUUCAGGAGCCUCUUUAUUCAAAAUACUUUUAAAUGCAGUGCAUAAAAAUAGCAGGCCACUUCCACUUGCAGGCUUUUGAAGCUGGAGAAGACUUGUUUUUCACAUGAGGAAACUGAGUCCCAGCAAGGUGAAAUGACUUGCUAGUAAGUGAUACGAUUAAACUUAUUUUUUGACUCCAAAGCACAUUCUGCCAACUUGAAGAUGCUUGUCCCAACUUCUGGAAAUUCACCCUAUCAACGUCUGUAUCACAACCCCAUUCUUAAUAAUAGUUUCUUCACAUUAGAAAUAAAUGUCAGAAAUAAAUGUCUACUUGUCAUUUGUACAUGUCAUGCAAACAUCUUGGCACCAGAUAUGGGUACAAGUAGAAAGCAUCAGCGUGUUCAUCUAAGAACUGGAUUUUAUCCAAUGGAAUGUUCUGUUUAUUCAUUGCUAUUCAUGCAUACCUGCUGUGUUUUAACGUUGUGAUAAAUCCAGAGAAUCAAAUAUGAAUAAAAAUACUCCCUGAAUUCAACAAAGUAGGCAUUGGCUCUGGCCAGGGGACAAAAUGUUAAAUGGCAUGCAGUCUUCACCCUGGCACAACUUGAAGCUUAUCACCUAUUGUAGAGAUGAAGCCAUAAACAGAUCAUUUCAGCACAGCAUGAUAAGGGGGAGCUCCAGGGAUCAUGGUAGUACAUGGGCCCAGUCCCUAAUUAAAUCUGGUGGAGUGUGGGCAAAGUUAAGGAAGGCUUCCUAGAGGAGAGGGCAUUGGGGUUGAUCCCUGGCAGGAACAGGGCUCCAGGCAAGGGGAACAAAGACCAGU
Molecule: long non-coding RNA, 8903 nt
Filed under: Homo sapiens (human)
Lineage: Eukaryota; Metazoa; Chordata; Mammalia; Primates; Hominidae
Description: non-protein coding lnc-IRX3-80:1
Source: RNAcentral